GUAAAUCAUUAAUAUAUAAUGAAAAUAAAACAGGUCCAAGUGUGGAACCUUAGGGUAGUCCAGCCUGACAGUCAAAAUAUGGAGAUUUGAUAGUGUUCAUAUGCACGAGUUUGGGCUGUAUGAUUGACUUAAUUCAAUAUCAUUAUCACCACAUGGAGGUACCCACGGCUGCGGCUGAGCAUACAUUUUUACAUAAAAUGUCUUUGUUUUUGUUAUAAAUAGCAUAUUUUGACACAACUUCAGUCUCGUUUGUGUCACUAAAGAAUUGGAAAAGACCAGUCUUUCACAGAAGACCUAUACGGACGCAAGAUGGCGGCGUGUGCACACAGCUAAGCCCAUUUUAUCUCUUCCAGAUUUGCAGUUUUGUAGUUAUUAUUUUGUUCAAAUUGGGUCUGGUUUAACAUUUUACUCCCAACGAGAGCUUGUGGAUAUUGGAUUUCGCAGCGCCAACGUUUUUAACACUAAUCUUCGACUCGUCUCUGAAGCCUCCACGGUACCAGAGGCUACACACACCACCCAGCCGGGCGGAAGCGCUUGCAAGCGGCGUCGAGAACGUAAACAAACGCUCGGAAGGCGCGGAGAAAUACGAGCUAACAUAAGCUCACGAACCGAAAAGACUCAACUACUUUCUUGCUAAUGUGUGGUCUUUAGUGAAUAAAUGGACGAGUUACGAUUCCACUUCACCCACAGUAAGUGACUUUUGGACUGCAGCGUCACAAUUUUCACCCAGACAUGACUGAACAGCGGAGUACCUGACAACGCUAUUGUGCUAGCCGACCGCCACACAGUCCGGGCUGAUAGAACAGCAGAUGAAACAGGCAAGACACGAGGCCAAGGACUGUACAUCUAUGUGAACUGCUUUCUGUGUCACAAAAUAAAGAUACUGUUGCACACCUACUAUGUCAAGUUGUUUAUCGAAGAGUUUUAGCCUUUUUUCGAGGUGGAAAAAGUCGCAAAUGAGAUCUGUUUAUUUGUAGGGAUCAUUAUUAGCAGCGCUCUUUAAAAAAUAUAUUCGACUUUUAGUCGACUAUGAACAAAAUCAGAUUCGACUAUGAAAGUCUUUCGUCGAAGACAGCCCUUAAUAAUUUUAUCAGUGUGCUCUGAGCACCCGACAUGAUUUUCUGUGCAUGCAUGUGUGAGACACGGCUCAGUUUGCUUCAUAUUAAACGCAGCACUAAAUAUCUGACAUGCAUUUUAACUCUCUGCAUACUCAUCGCUAUUCUAAAUACUUUAUUCAUAGAUGUUAUGAGCCAUAACAUUUUUGAAAAGCAAUCUAGAAAUCAGAAUUUAUGCGUGUGUUGUAUUAAACAAGCCUUGUAUGAUUGCGAUAAUGUAAGAUCUAUAUUUGUAAACUGCUACAAAACAGAGACCUCCGUCACUUUGUAGACUUUGCUAAUCAGUACCUCCAGCUCCUCUCCACCCAGGUGACAAAUGUCCAAGACACACACCAAAUGCGUGUCUUCCAGUUCACUAGCUGUUGUCAAGAUCUCCUCUGAAAGACAAAAUACAUUGGGAAUUGUGGUAUCAGUAUGAUGCUAAACUACACUGUAAAUCGGUCGGGUAGCGGUGGUACUUGUGAUGACCUGGUCUGGGACCUGUUGCCUCGCUGUUGCUGAGGGGGCUGAGGAACCCAGAAGACAGACAAGACAUCAUGGUGUUGUCAUGGCGAUCACAAAUAAGACCUACUGCUCUAUGCUCACUGGAGCACACAACAGCUACUGGUGAGGUAAAGCGACGAGCCCGCUGCCUGACACACUCGCAUCUGAGUGCACACCAGGUUGAGAAGAGGAAAAAAUCUCCAGGAUAAAAGGCUGCUCCGAUGUUCCAUCCACCGCAUGAACCCAGCGGAACGUCCAGUACUUUUCUGGACAGACAACAAGGAUGGACAGGAUCAUUCACACAAGAAUACUCAUUCACAUGUGAAGAAUAUUUGGCAUGUUUCUUAAGUCUCACCAUUGUUGCCUUUACUCUUUAUCCUUUCAACACGACCUACAAAGGUAACCAAACCGAUGAUGUCACAUGCUGAGUUGUUGGCAAACUUUCCAAGCUCCGAUCUGACAAAGUGAAAAAUGUGGAAUCACUCACGGAUCACAACACAAAUGCUGUCUAUAAAUUAAAAAUAAUUGUGCAUUUGCACAAACAAAAUAAUUGCCUGUACAGUGUUUCCCAUUCAUUAAUUUUGACCUCCACAGAUGGAUUCGGCGCUACCCAUUAAGAAUUGUCCGUGUUUAUAUGACUCUUAUUUUGAAACCUUUAAUUUGAAAGUGUUCUCCGAGUACUCCGGUUUCCUCCCACAUUCCAAAAACAUGCAUGUUAGGUUAAUUGGCGACUCUAAAUUGUCCAUAGGUAUGAAUGUGAGUGUGAAUGGUCGUUUGUCUAUAUGUGCCCUGCGAUUGACUGGCGACCAAUCCAGGGUGUACCCCGCCUCUCGCCCGAAGUCAGCUGGGACAGGCUCCAACAUGCCCUCGCAAUCCUAAUGAGGAGAAGCGGUAUAGAAAAUGGAUGGAUGGAUGGAAUUUGAAAGUGUCACUUCCAGGGCUGCAAGUAACUAUUAUUUUCUUAGCCGAGAAAUCUGAAGCUUGUUGUUUCAAUUAAUCGAGUAAUCGGUUAGGCCCAAGACCAGGGCUUUACAGCCACCUUGACUGCUGAUUGGAUGAGCAAGAGAAGGGGAGGGGAGGGGGACCAGUGUGUUCAGUCAGUGAGACACGAAAAAGACGUGUUUCUCCCGCCGUAAGCUAUCCAUAACAAUGAAUAUGUCCCUACAAAGAAAAAUAUCGGAAGAAAAUAAAAAAGUUUGAUUCUGAAUGGACAUUCUGAAUGGAAUUAGCAAACAGAAAAUUUAACAGUAAGACAUUUUUAAAACAGGCACUCUGCUUUUUCUGAAACGUAUUCAACUGCUGAUGGGCGUGAGGGAGUGAUUUUGGAACUACUACAAAAGGUUGAGCAGAGCAAACAUACUUUCAACAAGUGGAUGAAUGCUCCAAACUCAACUACAGCUGCUAGCGUUGUGACUACACAUGAGUGUGUAAAGAGGGGGAAGCCAUUCACAGAUAGAAAACACAUGAAUACAAGAAUCGUUCAUAAAAAUAUCACAGGAUCUAUUCUCCGCUUAAAAAAAAAAACACACACAGGAAAUGAUUCAGAAAAUCAAAGAAAUGCCUCUCUCUGCAAAGACAGUCAAGAGCAAUGGCAACAAACAUCAACAGGUGGAAAAUUGAUUCAGAGCAAGCAUAUGUAAUUGCUUGUGAUAAGUGAUGUAAACUAUAUUGAGCAGACAGCACCGAUAUGCAGAUGUGAACUAUGAUGUGCUUUUUUUAUGCUAAAGUUGGCUACAUCUUUUAGUUUUACACAAAUACGAGAAUGACUAAAAAAAAGCCUACAUAGUUCAGUGCUUAUGUCACAGUAGGCCUACACAUGCCCUCUGCAUCUCUUUGUUAGUUGAAUUCUGUUGGAACAGGUACAAUUUGUGCAUAAGCUGUGUCAUGUUUUGUGGCUCCGGACUAUUUUUCUUUACUGGAAAUAGGAAGCAAAAUGACUCUUUUGGUGCUAAAUAUUGCCGACCACUGCCCUAGACGGACUAAAUCAAUAUGAACCAAACACAAACAGUUAGUGGUUUGGUCCUCAAAGAAAAGAGGUAAAAAUGUCAAUCACUGUUUUCCAAAGUCAAAGCUGAUGUCUGUGAAUCAAUUAAUCAUGGAUUGAUUGCUGCAGCUCUACUCACUUUCCCUCCCGAUUUGUGUGUGUUGCAAUCGAUAAUACUAUUCUCUCAACCACUUUCUAUAAUCUAUUGGUGCAGAAGUCAUUGCCGAUGUGAGUUUUCUAACGCUUUAAUAGAUAUAUUUGAAGCAUUAAUGUCUGCGUGUGAUGUUUUAUUGAUGUUCUGAUGUCAUUAGUCUGAAUGACAGCUGUUUAUUUAGUAAAUGGCAUAUGACUGCUAAACAAAUUAGCAAAUGGUAAUAAUAAUAAUGAUUCAGAGUGAAAUGAACCCAUUAUUCAUUCACUCCUCAAUUACACACUGGUGGUGGUAAUCUAUAUCUGUAGCAUCAGCUUCCCUGUGGCAGACUGAUGGAAACGUGGCUGCCAAUUUGUUGGAGUUUCUUACUCAAUCCGUUCCAUAAUUUGAUUCCACAUACUGAAAUGCUGUGGGUUUUUCGUGUUGUUCUCGCAUAUUCUCAUGUUUAAAGUUUAGUUUUUCCCUAAGAUCAUAUUUCUCCUCUCCUAAGUAUUGUAUGACAUUUUUGGCUAAUAGGUUAUUUUAUUUUAGUUGUUUGAAAAUUUACUAAAUCAGCGAAUUUUUAUAUUUGUGAUUUUAAAAAUAAGGGAUUUGUAUGUUCUCUAUACGCAGCAAUAUGGAUUAUCCUCACUGAUCUUUUUAGCAGUACAUUUAGCGAGUGAAGAUUGCUUUUAUAGUUAUUACCCCAUAUCUCCCCACAAAAAGUUAGAUAUGGUAAUACCAUAGAGCAGUAAAGAGUGUGGAGUGAUUUUUGAUCAACAACAUUUUGCUUUAUUCAAUAUUGAAGUAUUUCUCACCACUUUAUGUUGUAUAUUUUUGAUGUGAGAUUUCCAGCUCAUUUUUUCAUCUUCUAUGAUUCCAAGAAAUUUAGAUAAGCUAACAUUUAAGGUUACUUUUACCCUCCUUGAAGACGUGAUUCUUGAAAGACACGAUGUGGCAGCGAGACCAACCACCACCACCUUCCUGUGUUGACAUGAGUUGUUUCUUAAAUUCAAUAGUUUCUCGCCUCAAUAGGGUAACUCAAAAUGGAUGCCAAACAAAGUUCCAAGUGGGAUUUUUUGAUGAAGAGGGUGAGAAAAACUAUUGAAUUCAAGAAAUAACUCAUGACAAAAUGUGAGAUGACUCUGUGCCACAGUGUCUUUGGGAACAGUUUAUAGCCCUUUCAUUCAUCAUUCAUAUGCAUUUAGAAUUGUUUUAUGCAUGUAAAACUAUAACUAUAAAAAUAUAAAAAUUUGUUUUGUGUUAACAGUUGAUGACAUCAUAGACGGGUGACGUAACUGGGUCCAGUUGCCAUUUUGUUCACUAGCUAAUAGGAUGCUAACAAGGAAGGGUUUCUGAUAAAAAUAAUAUAAGUAUUAAGAAAACAAGACAUGCGACAUAUUGCCAAAAUUGUGGUGUAAGUUUUUUUAUGUUAAUAAAAAAAAAAAACACGCUAACCGAGGUUCACUGUAUAUGCAAGUUUAUUUGCUUUAUUCACUUUAUAUCACAUUAUAUGACAAAGACAUUGAGUUUAUCUAACUAAAGUAAUGCACCGUGUGUAUGCUUCAGAGCACACAAUUAAAACUGAUCAGUCCAUCCGAUGACUUUGUGUUCUCUGACCGGAACCCCAGAGUUAUCAAUAUUCCAAACACCAGUUUCACUCAACACUAUCUGUUAGCCCUCAUAAACACAUGAUGGUGGAACUCUUCCAGGGGGAGGAGGAAGCCAUAAAAAUUAAAUGGCCAAUUAUGCAAAUUUGUCUCAAGUAUAGAUAGCCAGAUGAUUAGUUAAAUUACACGUUACAUUACCUUUUGGUGAAGCGAUAGGACAAAUCAGGCAAUGACCACUGAGGCUGAACUUCCUUAGGUGGCACUAUGGUGAUGACUGAAGCUGGAUUGCGAGGGUUCAGGCAGAUUUCUGAAGAAAAAAGUAAGACUUACAGCAUUUGUAUGACUUCUAGUCUCAAUCAGAGAGGAGAAAUAUGAUCUUAGAGGAAAAUUAAACCUAAAACAUUUAUAUGCGAGAACAACGCUGAAAACCCACAGCAUUUCCGUGUGUGGAAUUAAAUUAUGGAACGGAUUGAGUAAAGAACUCAAACAAUGUACCGAGAUGAGCAAAUUCAAAAAACAAUACAAGCAGUUGAUGUUUGCUAAAUACAAGGCAGAAGAGUCCUGAUU
This is a long non-coding RNA of Dunckerocampus dactyliophorus (ringed pipefish), 5889 nucleotides long. RefSeq lists it as uncharacterized. The transcript has 3 exons. The record is from RefSeq and is a predicted model, not a curated record. Lineage: Eukaryota; Metazoa; Chordata; Actinopteri; Syngnathiformes; Syngnathidae.